GUCAAGAAAACCAGUCGCCGAGUUCGGGCUCGUACGGAAUCGGUGGACCCUCCUGUACCCGUAUCGGCAGAAGUCUCGACUGCACCGCCCCCGGCCAUACAAAGUGAUGACACUCAAGCCAUUACACAAGCCGGAGCGGCAGCCGCCUCACUAUUGCUGGAAGCUUUACAAGUGAGUUCAAGCUUUAUCUCUUCCGAUUUGUCAAUUCGGUAAUUACUCUUGUUAACUUUUCGUACUUCUUAGGGCUCUUCUAUGGAAAUACCACAGUCAGCAACAACUCGACCGGAGGCCAACACGCC
Molecule: long non-coding RNA, 299 nt
Filed under: Setaria italica (foxtail millet)
Lineage: Eukaryota; Viridiplantae; Streptophyta; Magnoliopsida; Poales; Poaceae
Description: long non-coding RNA (SITA_LNC006347)
Source: RNAcentral